RNAcentral lists this ribosomal RNA (426 nucleotides) under uncultured bacterium. Its description in RNAcentral is "partial 16S ribosomal RNA". It matches the Rfam family "Bacterial small subunit ribosomal RNA", at positions 354 to 796 of the family's 1533-position model. The record is from RNAcentral.
GUGGGGAAUCUUGCGCAAUGGGCGAAAGCCUGACGCAGCCAUGCCGCGUGAAUGAUGAAGGUCUUAGGAUUGUAAAAUUCUUUCACCGGGGACGAUAAUGACGGUACCCGGAGAAGAAGCUCCGGCUAACUUCGUGCCAGCAGCCGCGGUAAGACGGAGGGGGCAAGCGUUGUUCGGAAUUAUUGGGCGUAAAGGGCUCGUAGGCGGAUCUGUAAGUCUGGCGUGAAAUCUCCACCGCUUAACGGGGAGCUGCCGCUGGAUACUGCAGAUCUGGAGUUCGGUAGAGGAUCGUGGAAUUUCGGGUGUAGCGGUGGAAUGCGUAGAUAUCCGAAAGAACACCAGUGGCGAAGGCGACGAUCUGGGCCUGAACUGACGCUGAGGAGCGAAAGCUAGGGGAGCAAACGGGAUUAGAUACCCGUGUAGUCC